Molecule: ribosomal RNA, 360 nt
Filed under: Methylobacterium sp. oral taxon C71
Lineage: Bacteria; Pseudomonadati; Pseudomonadota; Alphaproteobacteria; Hyphomicrobiales; Methylobacteriaceae
Description: bacterial SSU rRNA
Rfam family: Bacterial small subunit ribosomal RNA
Source: RNAcentral
AGCGAACGCUGGCGGCAGGCUUAACACAUGCAAGUCGAGCGGGCACUUCGGUGUCAGCGGCGGACGGGUGAGUAACGCGUGGGAACGUGCCUUCUGGUUCGGAAUAACUCAGGGAAACUUGAGCUAAUACCGGAUACGCCCUUUUGGGGAAAGGUUUACUGCCGGAAGAUCGGCCCGCGUCUGAUUAGCUAGUUGGUGGGGUAAUGGCCUACCAAGGCGACGAUCAGUAGCUGGUCUGAGAGGAUGAUCAGCCACACUGGGACUGAGACACGGCCCAGACUCCUACGGGAGGCAGCAGUGGGGAAUAUUGGACAAUGGGCGCAAGCCUGAUCCAGCCAUGCCCGCGUGAGUGAUGAAGGC